GAAGAGUUGAGCCUAAUGUUGAAGCAGCACAAUGCAAAGUGCACGCUGAGCACGACAUUGCUGCGCAACCAACUUCAGCAUGACAUGCUUUGCUUUGCUGAGAAAAUGGUUGCAUUCGUGAAGGAUCGUUGUAGAUGUUGUGCGGAAAAAGGAUUGUCCAAGUGCAUCACCAUCAACAAUGAUGGUGAAGAUGGCACUUCACUGAGACGAGUGUUUGAAGGUGCCCGAAAACUCGAUAUGUCUGAUGAUGAAGGGCCAAGCGAUGCAAGAGAUGAGGAAAACCAACAUAGAACGAAAAGGGUUUGCAUGGA
Triticum dicoccoides is the source of this 311-nucleotide long non-coding RNA. RefSeq lists it as uncharacterized. The transcript has 3 exons. The record is from RefSeq and is a predicted model, not a curated record. NCBI's taxonomy places the organism in Eukaryota, Viridiplantae, Streptophyta, Magnoliopsida, Poales, Poaceae.